Molecule: transfer RNA, 68 nt
Filed under: Sericinus montela
Lineage: Eukaryota; Metazoa; Arthropoda; Insecta; Lepidoptera; Papilionidae
Description: tRNA-Ser
Source: RNAcentral
AAUUAAUGAGCUUGUGAAUAAGCAUUUGUUUUGAAAACUUAAAAAAGAAUUAAAUAUUCUAUUAAUUU